CAGCAGCCGCGGGAAUACGGAGGGGGCUAGCGUUGUUCGGAAUUACUGGGCGUAAAGCGCACGUAGGCGGCUUGGUAAGCUAGAGGUGAAGGCCUGGAGCUCAACUCCAGAAUUGCCUUUAAGACUGCCGAGCUAGCAGGUGAGAGAGGUAAGUGGAAUUCCGAGUGUAGAGGUGAAAUUCGUAGAUAUUCGGAAGAACACCAGUGGCGAAGGCGGCUUACUGGCUCAUACUGGACGCUGAGGUGCGAAAGCGUGGGGAGCAAACAGGAUUAGAUACCCCAGUAGUCCCUGUCUCUUAUAC
RNAcentral lists this ribosomal RNA (301 nucleotides) under uncultured bacterium. RNAcentral's name for it is "partial 16S ribosomal RNA". It matches the Rfam family "Bacterial small subunit ribosomal RNA", at positions 509 to 807 of the family's 1533-position model. The record is from RNAcentral.